Molecule: unclassified non-coding RNA, 331 nt
Filed under: soil metagenome
Description: partial contains 5.8S ribosomal RNA, internal transcribed spacer 2, and large subunit ribosomal RNA
Rfam family: 5.8S ribosomal RNA (bases 1-120)
Source: RNAcentral
GAUGAAGAACGUAGUAAAAUGCGAUAAGUAAUGUGAAUUGCAGAAUUCAGUGAAUCAUCGAAUCUUUGAACGCACAUUGCGCCCGCCAGUAUUCUGGCGGGCAUGCCUGUUCGAGCGUCAUUUCAACCCUCAAGCACAGCUUGGUGUUGGGACUCGCGUUAAUUCGCGUUCCUCAAAUUGAUUGGCGGUCACGUCGAGCUUCCAUAGCGUAGUAGUAAAACCCUCGUUACUGGUAAUCGUCGCGGCCACGCCGUUAACCCCCAACUUCUGAAUGUUGACCUCGGAUCAGGUAGGAAUACCCGCUGAACUUAAGCAUAUCAAUAACGGAGGA